RNAcentral lists this long non-coding RNA (876 nucleotides) under Androctonus crassicauda. Lineage: Eukaryota; Metazoa; Arthropoda; Arachnida; Scorpiones; Buthidae. The record is from RNAcentral.
GUUAACAUAUCAAAUUCUUUAUUUAAAAUAUAAAUAAAUCAAGCUGGGAAUCAUCGUCAUAUGGUAAACAAAGAGAGAGCCGAAUCGUUGAGAAUGGAAGUAAAUAUCGAAAACAUCAGAGUAAUAUAAACAAAUAAGACAGAGCAGAAAGAGGUCAGUAGAGAGAAAAAAGUUAGUCAGCAGAAGAGAGGAGUUCUAUUUUUGAUAGUGAACAAACAACAAUAACCAAAAUGUAAAUCUUAAUGACGGGAAAAGCAACUCAUCCUGUCAGGGUGCUGAUGGAUGAUGGCAAUGAGCAUGGAAGAUAGCAAUGAAAUGAACAGACAUUUGUGAACAUUCGAACAAUAAACAUUUGUGGACAGUUAUUAGACUAGUGUUCAAAUAAUUGAUGUAACACUGGUACUUCUGGUUCCAGUCUCUCAGGUAUGCUCAUGGAACUCUCACACAAUCUCUCAAAUCAUUGUAUUGUAUAGUUUAGGUUUAAGUAGAUUUUGGUAUAAUUCCUUGUAAAUUCCAUGUUUAUUAUUGUUAUCUACUAUUAAUUGCUGUAAAUAAGACUUUAGCUUGUAAUUAUGUUUAAGUCAAUCGUUCAUUCCUGGAUACCUGUGCCACUUGCUCACCCAUCUAUAUUCAAUUUGCGACUUAGCCUAGUUCAAAUUCAUUCAAAUUCAGUACACAACUGCAAAACCACUUGGUCUAGCUCAAAUAUCCCAUGCUGGAGCAACAGAUUUAAACUGGUCCUGGUGUCAGAACCUGAUGACAACAGAACAGCCUCCCGUGACCCUUACAUAGUAAUAGAUGAUAAAAACCUAUUUAAAAUAUAAAAAAAUUGUUAAAUGUAUAGAUGAUUAUUAUUUUAAUUUCAUAUCAUAAAAC